CUUGAGAUGAUCAUGUGAUUUUUAUUCUUCAUUUUCUUAAUGUGGUGUAUCACGUUGAUUUAGUUGCAGAUGUUUAACCAUCACUGCAUCCCUGGAAUAAAACCCACUUGAUCAUCACAUAUGAUCUUUUUAAUGUAUUGUUUUAUUCUAUUUGAUAGCAUUUUGUUGAGGACUUUUGCAUUGAUGUUCAUCAGUGAUAUUGGCCUGUAAUUUUUUUUUUGUAUUGUGCUUGUCUGGUUUUAGUAUCUGAAUAAUGUUGACCUCAUAGAAGAAGUUAGGAAGCUUCCCCUCUUCUUCAAAAAACUGAAUGUUCUUUGGCAGAGAGUUGAAUAGAGUAAAUGAAUUUGGCAUGUUUAUGGAAAAAGAUUGCUAGCACAUAUGAAGUUUUCCAUUUCAUGGUCCCUGCCUUGCUUCAACUACUCAUUUUUUGGUUACUUUUUUUCCCCAACACUCCAUUGAAUCAAGUGACUGCCUUUCCAUAUACUGAGGUUAUUCAGCAUAUGCCUUUUGAAUAGUUGUUAUAGGUCUAAGGUGCAUAAAGGUGCAUAUAGUUGUUAUAGGUCUAAGGUGUGGAGAAGGCACUGGAGAGUCACAGGAAAUGGGAGCAGAUGAGAGGGUGUGUGGUACCACGGGAUGCAUGCUGGAAUUAGAGUCACAGUUUCAAGGUUUAAAUUUAUGGUGCAUUCUUUUAUUGGCAACUGUGGACAACCUAUUUAACCUCUUUCAGAGUUCACUUUCUUUGUAAGGAGAAUAUGGGGCCUGACAAAAAUGGGUGAGAUGCUUGCCUCAUGGGAAUUAUAUCAGAUGAUGUGUGAUGGUGACUUGUAAAUUGGGACCCACUAUUUAGGUGUUAGUGGGUGUCUGAAAACUAGUGCUCCAAAAUUUGAAAUUCCUAAUAAAUAUUCCAAGAUGUUGUAAACUUAAAAGUUGAAUUCAGCGGUUAUUUUCCCCUCAAAACAAGUUACCAGAAUAAUUGUAAUUUGGGAAGUGCAUGCUAUGACAAACCAUAGGCAAAUUUGGAAAACAAAGGAGGGGAGCUGCUUUUAUAGAGAAAAAGGAGGAGGAGUUAGUGGCUGUUCUAAGUGGAAGACCAUUGGGGAAACAUAACAGUUGUAGGGGAGGAAGAUAUUUCCUCUACCCACUCUGAGUCCUUCUGACCAGAAAACAAAUUAAAUUCACAUGAGACAGAAUAACAGGAGAAAAUUAAACAAAGCUUUAUAACAUGUAUACAUGGGAGAGGCUCAGGUAAACUGAGCAACUCACCAAAAUGGUGGCAGUUCUCCCCUUAAACACCACCCUCAGGUAAAGACAAAGGAGGAUGUUGGGGAUGGAGGGAAUCAAUCAUGGGACGUUGCCAAAAAGUAUAGUAAACAAGAGUAAGAUUAUUAUGCAGAUUUAAGUCCUUGCCUUCUGCAUUGAUUAAGAGUUUCUAGAGAUAAGGUCAUCCCCCCUUCUUCCUGGUACAGAGAGGGAGACACCUUUAUAGAUGAAGAUUUCCCUUACAAAUGUAAAUGUCUCUUAACAAAGGGUAAGUAAAUUCUACUUUUCAGAGUUUGUUUCCUGUCUGCAGUUUUUUAAAAGUGACCAGCCCCAAAUAAUCCUCAUGCCAAAGAGUCAUAUCUUGGAGUGGCCAAUUUCAGUCCCCCAUACAGUUCAGGGUGGCAGUGGCUUCUCUUUGGCUGAGCUGAGGUGUUUCUCAUUGGUUGGGCUGUUGCCAGGUGGGGACAGAAAUCUUCCUUCAGCAGUAAAGUAGUUGUACUUCUUGUGGGAGAUGCAAGUACAUCUCUUUUCCUGUUUGGAGUAAUUGAUGAUGUAUGAUAGGGUGUGAGAGUUUCCCUUCCAGGCCUUCCUGACUCCUCAAUUUAGCUAAGGUUUCUUUUAUUAAUUUCCACAAUGUCUAAUAGAUUUUCUGUAGGAUAAACAUUCACUGCGAAAAAAUUAUGAAAUCCCAGGUAUUGUUUAGAUUGCUCAGUUUUAACAAAACAUCAACUAUUGUAAUUUCCCAAAUAGAAGAGCUGACUGUAGGAUAGUCCUUCCUACAAAGAAACUUGCCCUUCCCCCAAGAGUCCUAUAAGAAAUUGUCAUUAUUAUUGACUCUUUCAUUGACUGAUUACACAUAUCUUCAUUUUCUUUUCAUAAAGCAUAUGUGAGAAGAAAGCAACCUGGAAUAAAUUUGUGCUUUAUCGUAUAACUUUCAGUUAGCAGUCAAUGUCAACUGUGGGCAAGGCUUGAUCCAGGUUUUGUGGGGACUGAAACUUAAUCAACUUGGAGGACCUUCUUUGAGGAAAAGAGUGCAAAAUUACAAAUACAAAAUUAUGUAUGAAAAUGAAACUUUAUUUGGAGUGAGAGAACAGAUUAAAACAAAUCAGAUUUUUUCUUCUCAGUUCUUUUUAGACUAUUUACUGGAAAUGCUUACAUAGAAAUGCUUCAUGAUUGCAUUCAUGACUUCUCCUCCUCAGCUGGACCUUCACAAAUCCCAGCAACUCCUAGCAGCCACAGGGCUGUGCAAGGAAGCGGCCUGCAGGAUUAUCUGACCCUGACUAUGAGGAAAAUCUGUUUAACUGUUUUUGUUCCGUUUCUCUUCACUGGGGCUAACCCAUGCAAUUCUUUAAAAAGCAGAGAAGACUCUUCCAAGUAUGAUUGCUUUUUCAGUUAACUCCCCCUCUAGGGUAACUGCCAAGUGACAUCAGGCAAGGGUAUUCAAAGGAUUCCUCUUAUAGAGAGGUUCCUGUGCCUAGGAAUUUAAAUAAAAUUUCCCAGAGGCUAGACCUGGAGGCUAUUUGAAAUGAAUACCUGCCUUCCACCAAAGGUGAUUUUUAUUUUGUUUUGUUUUCCUGCUGCCCUUCUCCUCUUCUCCCUCAAGGCUGGAGCAUCUUUCAUUUUUUGGUCUCCAAUUUCAUUGUGUUAUCACACGAAACUGGGGUUCUCCUACUUGAUGUAGAUAAACAAGUUAAUUAAUUAUCACAUCAGCUUUUGGGAAAAGAAGUCAGCUUCCUUCUGCGAGAGUGAUCUGCAGGGAGACAAGGGGUGUGCCCUCAGAUCUGUCUCCUCAGUUUAGGAUUUGGGGCAAAAUUUAAGAGAUUAGGCAGAACAGGUUGUCAUGCAGAAAUGCUGGUGGGACAGGUUUUGAUUGGUGGGCUUCAGGCAUUUAUGGUAAGGUUCUAAACAUUUCUGGUAUGGCUUUAAACAUUUAUGGUGAGGUGGGGAAGAAACUUUAACACUGGAUCUUCCUGAAUGAUGGACUCCUCACUUCUGAUCUGAGUCUGACAUUUAGGGUCCAGUCACAUCCUGGUCCUUUGGUUCUUUAGGGAAGCGACCCCGGUUCUGCGGUCAUUUCAGGUCCAGAUUUAUUCUUCUGCACAUGUUCUGGCUACAUGACUUUGAAAGUUUUCUGAAAGACAAUCCUAUUUUUGGUGAGGAAGUUUUUCCCUGAGCUAACAUCGGUUGCCAAACUUCCUCUUUUUGCUUGAGUAAGAUUAGCUCUAAGCUGACAUCUGUGCCAAUCUUCCUCUAUUUUUUUGUAUAUGGGAUGCCACUUUGGCACAGCUUGAUGCCUGGUGUGUAGAUCCAUGCCUGGGAUCUGAACCUGCAAACCCCAGGCUGCUGAAGCAGAAUGCACAGACUUAACCACUACACCACUGGCCAGACCCUGAAAGACAACUCUUAAUCAUUCUGUUGAUAACAGAUGGGGUCUGUUCAAACUGGCUCUAAAUGGGCCUGUGGUUACUGCGUAAAGCACUGGUCCUCAAACCACUGCACACCUCCUAGGGAGCCUUCAAAACUACUCAACUGGGUUUCACUCCUGGGCGUUAUAAUUUAAUUAAUCUGGGGUGAUUUUACUGUGCGGCCAAAGUUGAGAAGCAUUGUCUAAGAUCCCAGUGGACUGUAUUUUUUUAAAGAUCUAUCUGCAUUUUUUUUAAAAGGACAAAAAUGACUGAGGAUCCAGAGUUGAAUAGGCAUGUAAGACCCCACUAAUUUGUGCACUUUUCUGCUGAAAAAUAAAAAGACCGCCAGGUUAUUUCCACAUGGUUGAAGAUAAUUGGUAUCUUAUUGAAUGAUUCUUAAAAUCAGUUUGGAUAUUAUAUAUAUGCUCUCAACCAUUGAAAAGAGGCAGAAUUUAAAAAUUAACUUCAUUCUGGUCUCUAAAUUUACUACCCUUUCCAAUUUUAUUCAAACUACAUGGCUAGAUUUAUCAAACUAGAAAUUUUUGUUUUUUAAGAUGUCUUAAAACUCUCUUUUAUGAUUCUCUUAUUUAGGGAGAGUCAGUGGCAGAUCAUAGGUGAAUGUGGAAUAGAGUAAACCUGGGAGUGAGGGCUAGAAGCUGUGCUGUAAAGUAGAAUGGCUAGAGAAUAGCGUGGGGGCAGGCUGAAUGGGAAAGCUGAGGUGUACGGCUGAGCCUACAAUCCAGGGUGGACACUGAGCCCAAAUGAAGGACGGAAGCAGAGUUUCAAGAUGUAAAGAGGGAAUGACAGUGUACAGAGUUAGCUUCUGCCAUAGAUCUAGCAUUACAGUGAUGGGACCAAGAUAAAGAGAUAUCUUGGUAGGUGUUCCCAACAGCCCUAGAAUAACUGAGACUUGAUGCUGAACCCAGUGUUUUUAUCAGACUUCUUUAUGUGAGUGGGGAUAGAUGACCAGAAGGCAUGAUCUUCUAUAGAGCGAGGCAUGGUUCUGCAGGGGCUGAAACCGAAGCAAAGGGCCACAUCUUUUUGUGAGUCAUGCAAUAAAUGUAGGAUGGCUUGAAGAGCAUUUAAAAUAAAUGAAAUUGAAUAGAAUUGGUAGAAAAUGCUUCAUAGAACUUAAAUGGAUGCACCUUGAUACAGUUUGUGUGUGAUAAGUAUAGUUAGGACAGAAGGGACAUAUAACAAAGGAAUUUUGAUAAUGUUUGGUACUUUUAGUUCUGGAAUAGCUCAACAAAAUUUGAAUUGUGAGAAGGAUAGGGGAAAACUAGGAAAUUAUUUCAAAUGUCUCAUCUGGGAGCUAUGGAGAAAAUGGGAGAAGUGUAGUAUUUUAAAAUUUUCAUUUGGGGGGUACUGUGGAAGUAGGGAAUGGAAAUAGAGUGUCCUGGGAGAGAAAAGAGUGCAUCUUUGUUGGAUAAGGAGUUUUCUUAUUUUUAAAUACUAGCGAAGAAUGGAGUCUUGUUGUGAGAACAGGAAGAGUGAAGGUGGCCCUCAAGGGAAGGAAAACUAUACUAGGACUUCCACAUUCCCAAGAGGAAAAGCAAUAACACAUAGCAACUUGAUUAAACCAGCAAAAAUAAGAAAAUAGGUAAAAACAAUGUAAAAUAAAUAACAGACUUGAACUAAAGUGAAAAAAUAAGAUAAACUGUUUAAAUUAUUAUAACAAAUGUAACAUUUGUUAAAAAUUAUAUCAAAUCAUUGUAACAAAUCCAAUUCUUCUAUUGACAGAAAAAUUGAGAAUGGGCCAAAAAAAUCUCUGAAAUCCUGGUUAAAUACAGCUUAUAAAAUUAAUUAAAACCAAAUAAUAAAUUAUGCUGAUGUGAAACAUAUAUCUUUCUGUUUGUCAUGUCAAAAAAAUUGAAACCACUGUUUUAGGAAGUUAUAUAAUUUUAACCUGAGAGUUACCUACUUAGUUGCUUGAUUGGUUGAUUCAUAUAUUCUUUCAUCUGCUCAACAAUUAUUUAUUAAAUCCUUAACAUUCUCCAAGUAUUGAGAAGUUUUUGAGUUACAAUGAUAAUAAGGAAAACAUGGUUCCUGAUCUCAUGGAGCUUGUCACCACACAGAAAUGGGGGGCUCGCUGCUGGUGUACAUAAAAAGCCAAUAGUUAUGGCAUUGGCUUUUGAGAAAAGAAAAGGCAUUAUUGUGAGGUCGGUAUGCAAGGAGACAGGACGCAAGGCUCUGAAAUCUGUCUCCCUGAUCCAGGGUUUGGGGAAACUUAAGAGGUUAGGGAGAAGAGGCUGGUAUGUGGAAAUACUGGUGGGGCAGGUUUCAGUUAGAAGACUUUAAACAUUUAUGGUAACGUGUGAGAGGGGAUUUAAAACCAGAUCUUUCUAAAUAAUGGACCCCUCACUUCUGAUGAGAGUCUGGCUUUCGAAUUCCAGUGGUGUCCUGUCUUUUGGUUCCAUGAGGGGAGAAUCUGGGUUAUUUCAGGUCAAGAUUUUUCUCCUCUGCACACGCUCUGGCUACAUGACUUUCUGUUUUUUGUCUUGCUGCCCCUGAAAAACAACCUUUAUCAUUCUGUUGAUAAGACGAGGUCAGUUUGAACUGGUCCCAUGGUUACAAGCUUACAUCCUAAAGGGAUAUAAAUAAUAAAUAAGUAUAUUAAGCCAAAAAUAAUUUCAUCUUAUCAUAUAGCUUAUGUGGGAAAGAAUCAGUGUGCUUGCAACAGAAUAACAGGAGGUAAUGUCGUAUAGAAAGUAUGAUCAGAGGUGACCGAGAAAGUGAACUUAGUUGAGUUGACUUCUUCUGUCAGAUACAUAGAGGUUCAGGAUUUUUGCAUCUCAUAUUUUAUGAACUAUUUCCUAUUUCUCAGUCAUGAGCCUCUCAUAAAAUUUAUAAAGACAGUUAUUUCAUUUCCCUCUACAAAAUGAGGGUCUAAAAUUUACAGACUUAUAAUGGGCUAAUCCAUUUAAUUAUAAUAUUUGGAAUCAAAUCAGACUUAUUUUAUUUGCCUUUAAGUUUAAAAAUACAUCUGAAAGUAAAUGAAAGGAAAAGAACCUCUAAAAAAAUUUCUCUAAACCCGCCUUCUAAAAAUAACAUCAAAAAACCAAGUAAUUAGCUAAAUAGGCUUCAUAUUCAAAGAGAAAUUACCAAUUAACCUUCUCCUGGCCCCCUAUCAGGAAAGGCAGCUGGAGAGUUGAAGAGUGAGGAAUUCCUACAGAGGGAGGAUGAGAUCCAUUUUGAGGGAUGCCCUUGCUGGAGGCAAUACUGACUUGAAAGAAAAUCCCAGCCACUGAUUCCACUUAAGUUUAGGAAUCUCUUAAAGGCUGAAAGGAAGAGCUCUGUUUGCUGAGAGAAAAAUAAACCAUCAGGACAAGGAAGGGGGUCAGUUGACAAAACCUGCCCAGAGUCUGAUCUGUUUUCUGUGAGUGGGUUCAGGUUUGGCACUGGAUAUGACCAAGAAGAUUAUGUUUUAUUUUGAGCCCAACACUGGUGAGAUGUCAUAUGCAAACACUGUCUAAGCUGUAUAACCUUAAUUUGCUGAUAAGAAGAGGAUAUAUUAUUUGUGUUAGAAUCAGAAGUCUUUCUGGAAUUCUAUAUGCCAUGCCUACUGUUUCUCCUUGGUGGGUUACACUGUCCUUAUGUCACCUACAAGAACAGCACAUUUUAAGAAAAUUCUUACCUGAAAAUUGAAAAUCGAAAGCAAAGAGCUAAGUGCUCUCUUUUCAUUGCUCCCCUAACACUAUAUCUAUCCCUCUAUUUUUUAUAUUUAAUGAUGAGUUUUGAAACUUUACUGAUAAGUGUUUUUCUCUAGGUUAUGAACUCUUUUGAGGGAUCUUGUUUAUCUCUGUAAUAUCACUGCCUCACGAGGUCUGACCUACUUAGAAAAUCUUGAACUGAAAAAAAACAUCGGGAAUGCUUAUUCACCUUAUUUCAAACGUAUAAACCCACUCCAACAUGGGCUUUUGCCCCCACCUCUCUGACAAAACUAUUUACAGUAGCCCCCCCAUAUCUGCAGUUUUGCUUUGCAUGGUUUCAGUCAAACACAGUCUGAAAAUAUACAUGGAAAAAUCCAGAAACAAGCACUUCAUAAGUUUUAAAUUGCACGUUGUUCUGAGUAGCAUGGUGAAAUCUUGCACCAUCCUACUCCGUCCUGCCCGGCACGUGAGUCAGCCCUUCGUCCAGUGUAUCCACGCUGUGUGCUCAGUAGCCGUCUCCUUGAUCAGGUCGCUGCUGCAGUGGCGCAGUGCUUGUGUUCAAGUAACCCUUACUUGACUCAAUAAUGGGCCCAAAGCAUAAGAGUAGUGAGCCUGGCAAUUCAGAAAUGCCAAAGAGAAGUUACUGUUUAUCUCUUACUGUGCCUAAUUUAUAAAUUAAUUUAAUUAAUGCUAAAUUAAUCUUUUUCAUAGGUAUGUAUGUGAAGGAAAAAACAUAGUAUAUGUAGACUUUGGUACUAGCUGUGGUUUCAGUAGUACUUAUCACAUUCUAUAAAGUUUAAAUGUUUCAGUCUUAUCAUCUGCAUCCCUCUGCUGGGGUAUAACCUCCAUGAGGGGAAGAAUUUUUUUGUCUGUUUCCUUCAUUGUUGUAUUGCCAGCAUGUAGAAGAAUGUUUGGCACAUAACAGGCAUUCGAUGAAUGCUUGUUAAAUGGAUGACUGGACAAAAAGAAAGGAAUAGUUUAUUUAGAGAGUUUGGAACAAUUUUCUUUUAUUUAUUUAAAUUACUGAAAAACUUUGUUUUGUGUGUGAACAUGCUAUAUAGUUCCAGCCUAUAGAAUAGUCAGGUUCACAAUUUAAUGAUGAGUAGGACAAUUAAUGUCAUUAAUUGAGACGCUGGAAACUCAGGAAUGACUGGGAGAGGCAGUGAGUCAGAAUUUAGACAGCGCUUUCUCCUUAGUGUAUAGCAGAGGCUAGCAAAACCAGCUCAAGCAGGCCCAGGAGGCUGACAUUAGCUUUCUAGGCACAGGUUGCAGUGAGUACAAUUUUCCAAGUUUCAUUCCUGAAGUUGAUACUGGCAGUUGAUCUGGGGAGACAGAGAGCACUGCAGAGGUGAAUGGACAGUUAGGUGGGACAUUGCUGAAGGACCUUACCAGUGGCCCAUAGCAGGACAAGGGGUUGAGAGCCUUCCUGAGAAUGGAGAUUGGCAAGAGCUAGGCAUGGUACCAUAGGCUGAGCUUUACAGUGGUGUUCUAAAGAACCUGGAAGGGAGACACAUCACAACAAAGGAGAGAGGGCUUAGUACUAUCCUGUUCUGGAAUCUGGGGCCACAGAAGAUGGAAUGAGCAGAGGGGGCUGGAAGUGCUAAAACUCUAAGAAUAUGAGGGUCAUCAUUUGUAUUCUGGAAUUUAGGAUGCACUGAUGAAGAAGAGAUAUGGGAAAGAAAAUAUAGAAGUCCUGAGAUCCAGUCAAGACCAUUAGCCCUGGGUCGGGGAACAAGGCUUUAUGCUGUCUCACCAGACAAAAGUGGGGAGUCGGAGGAGAGCAUAACCCGGAUCCUGAUUAAUGGACCUUAAAAUCCCAGUUUUAUUAAGUAAGUAUUGAAGAUUUAAAUGAAGACCAAAUCUACAUAUCUAAAUAAGCUAUUUUCCAUACUUUCUUGCUUUUCUGCCUGUCAUGCAAGCAAAUGUAACACUAGCGUUUCUACAGAGUCUGUGUAUAAAACUCUUGGUUGUUUGUAGAUAAGAGGAUUUGCAUAGGUCAUUGUGGUAAGCUUUUCACUUUAUGGCGAUUAGGUAAUUUGUUGAGGAUAGGAAGAUGUAAAAAUGUGACUCUCUGUGUCUUGUAUUUGACUGAAGCCCCAAGAUGAAGAGAAAGAAACGAGAGGAGGCAAACCAUUCCAAAGUGAGGUUCUGGACCACUUACUCAUUACUUGCUGAGGAGAUGCCCAAGCAGGUUUUAUAACUUUUAGCCUAAAACUCACUUGAGGGAAUAAAGUGUCAGGAUUGAAGAAAUAAAGAAAAAUAUUUCUUUGGAGAAAUUUAUUGCAUUCCAGUUGUAUUCCCUCCACCCAUGGGAGAAGGGAAUAAAAUGCUGUUCUUUCACUUCGUGCUGACUCUGAGGAGCUUCAGUGAAACACCUUGGAGAGCGCCAUUUGGAUUGCCUGCAUCUUUAGGCACAAAGGAUGAUGCCAGGUCAAUUCCCAGAAAGUCCUAAAGGGAAAGGCUGUGGCUGGGUAGUUGCUCUGACGGACAGUGAAGAGGCGUGAUGCACUGGAAGUCACUCACUCCAAGUGUUUAUUAAGUCAAAGGAAUCUAUGGACUGAAAGUGGGUUUGAGAGAGAGCUUUGUGCUAGAAGGUUUGAUUGGGAGGACUGUGGGUCCUGGAUGGAGAGCCUGAGCAGGGUGGCUUGCCAGAGUUUGAGGAGAGAGAUGCAAGCAACACAACGAAGGAGAGUCAUUGUCAUGUCAGGCGAGCUACAUUUGGAAGCUCCCAGGGUGUAUGGAUAAGGAGUGGGGUAGUGUUUUCCAAAGAAUCUACAAAGGAAAGAUUCAUCUUUGAAUGCACAAGUCUAGAGAGCACCAACUCCAGAUUGCUGAAGUGCCAGUAACCCGUAAAGUAAGAUCUUUCCUGCUCUUUACCUAUUUCUCUCUCUUCCUCUUCUCAGUGCCUACAAGAGCUGGUGGUGGAUGGCAGGGGGAGAGGAGGAGAAAGUAAAGAAAAAGUCACCCACGCUGUGUCACUCACUGUGAAGUCCAGCAUGAAGACUGCCAGAGAGGAGCUAGCGGAUGACUUCAAACAGGAAUAAAACGAGGAGUCAUACGAGAUGUUCCGCAGGAUAAGAACACUCACAGUCACAAGACCAAGGCUUUGAGGAAGAACUGAAUUUGGGGAUGGAGCAAGAGGAGUGAGAUUUAGAACCACCAGCUGGAGAAAAAUGGACCAUCGCACAAUAGAUUCAGCCUUUGGAUUUGGAUUCUAUCAGCCUCUAUAAUCAAUGCUGAUCACCCUCGGAUGGAAAGAGCAGUAACGAUUCACAUCGACGAUGACACCUGGCAGGAAACCCAUAAGAUGGACCGUUUUGACUGAAUUGACUGAUCAACGUCAACCUGUGUGACUCAUUAUUGGACUUCAGGGCCUGCUUAGCUGAUGGUCUGGCCAAAUACACUGGUAGCCUUGGCACCUGCAGGUGUACUUCGAUUGCUCAAUAUAUGAUAUAUGGAAUGUUGUUUAGGGCUGUGAUAAGCGAGAAUAAAUUAGGUCUAAUAAAUAUUCCUUCUGUGUGACUUAUUAACUGUGAAAUUAAAUACAUAGAAAAAAACUCUUCAGUUCUGACUUGUUUCAAAAGCUCUAGAAAUUGUUAUUUUUUUCAACCACUGUAUAAAAUAUUUACUGAGAAAACCUGUAAGGAUCUGAAGAGUAAUUGAAACAUGUGAGAGGUUUAUAUCAGCUAGUUUGAGGCUUUCAUAUAAUAUGUUAUUGAAGUUGGGGGAGGAAUUUGUUUAUGGGUGGCACAGUAUUUUGUGUAACAUGGUGAUUUAAAUAUGCCAAUUGUUACCUUUUUCUUUCUAAAUUUUAAGACGGAUAAGACAGUAGUGAAACUGGAACAGAAGAGCCAAUAUAGUUAACUCUUAGUAACUACUUUUAGUUAAAGCAGACAGUACCUUUCUUCCUCUACUAUAUUAUACUACAAAAUGUUCUCCACUCUUGGAAUUUGCUUCCCAAGAUUCCAGAGUGAACUACUGCAAACACGAUAACCACUUGGGAAUAUUCCAUUCAAUACAAACCAAUAGACUCCAAGCAAAUUUCCAGCUGAGACAUUUUGAGCAAAUUGUAUGUCAGGUUUUUUGUGUAGUAACAAAAGUCCCAAGACCUUUUGACAAGUUCUGAAGCUUUCAGUUCAUCUGAAAAGGACAAAAUGAAGACAACGAGUCAUCUGUGUGUGCAUGCGUGUGUGUGUGCAUGUGUGUGCGUGCCUGUGUGCUGUGAUGUACUUAUACAUUGCUAUAUAGAGAAAUCUUGUCUUUAGAUUUCUCUGUAUAGCAAGAUAGAAAUAAAAAAUUUGAAAAUCACUCUUUCUGAUGAAUGCGUCGAAUGAAGACAACAGUG
Molecule: long non-coding RNA, 11660 nt
Filed under: Equus caballus (horse)
Lineage: Eukaryota; Metazoa; Chordata; Mammalia; Perissodactyla; Equidae
Description: lncRNA (ENSECAG00000053200.1)
Source: RNAcentral